GACGAACGCUGGCGGCGUGCUUAACACAUGCAAGUCGAACGGAAAGGCCCUGCUUUUGUGGGGUGCUCGAGUGGCGAACGGGUGAGUAACACGUGAGUAACCUGCCCUUGACUUUGGGAUAACUUCAGGAAACUGGGGCUAAUACCGGAUAGGAGCUCCUGCUGCAUGGUGGGGGUUGGAAAGUUUCGGCGGUUGGGGAUGGACUCGCGGCUUAUCAGCUUGUUGGUGGGGUAGUGGCUUACCAAGGCUUUGACGGGUAGCCGGCCUGAGAGGGUGACCGGCCACAGUGGGACUGAGAUACGGCCCAGACUCCUACGGGAGGCAGCAGUGGGGAAUAUUGCACAAUGGGCGGAAGCCGGAUGCAGCAACGCCGCGUGCGGGAUGACGGCCUUCGGGUUGUAAACCGCUUUCGCCUGUGACGAAGCGUGAGUGACGGUAAUGGGUAAAGAAGCACAGGCUAACUACGU
Molecule: ribosomal RNA, 467 nt
Filed under: uncultured bacterium
Lineage: Bacteria
Description: partial 16S ribosomal RNA
Rfam family: Bacterial small subunit ribosomal RNA
Source: RNAcentral